This 506-nucleotide ribosomal RNA is filed under the name uncultured bacterium. Its description in RNAcentral is "partial 16S ribosomal RNA". It matches the Rfam family "Bacterial small subunit ribosomal RNA", at positions 29 to 523 of the family's 1533-position model. The record is from RNAcentral.
AGUGAACGCUGGCGGUAGGCCUAACACAUGCAAGUCGAACGGCAGCACAGGAGAGCUUGCUCUCUGGGUGGCGAGUGGCGGACGGGUGAGGAAUACAUCGGAAUCUACUCUGUCGUGGGGGAUAACGUAGGGAAACUUACGCUAAUACCGCAUACGACCUACGGGUGAAAGCAGGGGACCUUCGGGCCUUGCGCGAUUGAAUGAGCCGAUGUCGGAUUAGCUAGUUGGCGGGGUAAAGGCCCACCAAGGCGACGAUCCGUAGCUGGUCUGAGAGGAUGAUCAGCCACACUGGAACUGAGACACGGUCCAGACUCCUACGGGAGGCAGCAGUGGGGAAUAUCGGACAAUGGGCGCAAGCCUGAUCCAGCCAUACCGCGUGGGUGAAGAAGGCCUUCGGGUUGUAAAGUCCUUUUGUUGGGAAAGAAAUCCAGCUGGCUAAUACCCGGUUGGGAUGGCGGUACCCAAAGAAUAAGCACCGGCUAACUUCGUGCCAGCCGCCGCCGUAA